RNAcentral lists this ribosomal RNA (158 nucleotides) under Williopsis sp. RNAcentral's name for it is "5.8S ribosomal RNA". It matches the Rfam family "5.8S ribosomal RNA". Rfam says of the family: 5.8S ribosomal RNA (5.8S rRNA) is a component of the large subunit of the eukaryotic ribosome. It is transcribed by RNA polymerase I as part of the 45S precursor that also contains 18S and 28S rRNA. Functionally, it is thought that 5.8S rRNA may be involved in ribosome translocation. Lineage: Eukaryota; Fungi; Ascomycota; Saccharomycetes; Phaffomycetales; Wickerhamomycetaceae. The record is from RNAcentral.
AAACUUUCAACAACGGAUCUCUUGGUUCUCGCAACGAUGAAGAACGCAGCGAAAUGCGAUACGUAAUGUGAAUUGCAGGUUUUCGUGAAUCAUCGAAUCUUUGAACGCAUAUUGCGCUCUCUGGUAUUCCAGAGAGCAUGCCUGUUUGAGCGUCAUUU